Molecule: ribosomal RNA, 492 nt
Filed under: uncultured bacterium
Lineage: Bacteria
Description: partial 16S ribosomal RNA
Rfam family: Bacterial small subunit ribosomal RNA
Source: RNAcentral
AGUGAACGCUGGCGGUAGGCCUAACACAUGCGAGUCGAACGGCAGCACAGUAAGAGCUUGCUCUUACGGGUGGCGAGUGGCGGACGGGUGAGGAAUACAUCGGAAUCUACUUUUUCGUGGGGGAUAACGUAGGGAAACUUACGCUAAUACCGCAUACGACCUACGGGUGAAAGCAGGGGAUCUUCGGACCUUGCGCGAUUGAAUGAGCCGAUGUCGGAUUAGCUAGUUGGCGGGGUAAAGGCCCACCAAGGCGACGAUCCGUAGCUGGUCUGAGAGGAUGAUCAGCCACACUGGAACUGAGACACGGUCCAGACUCCUACGGGAGGCAGCAGUGGGGAAUAUUGGACAAUGGGCGCAAGCCUGAUCCAGCCAUACCGCGUGGGUGAAGAAGGCCUUCGGGUUGUAAAGCCCUUUUGUUGGGAAAGAAAAGCAGCAGGUUAAUACCCCGCUGUUCUGACGGUACCCAAAGAAUAAGCACCGUCUAACUUCGUG